AUUGAACGCUGGCGGCAGGCUUAACACAUGCAAGUCGAACGAUGAUUAUCUAGCUUGCUAGAUAUGAUUAGUGGCGGACGGGUGAGUAACAUUUAGGAAUCUGCCUAGUAGUGGGGGAUAGCUCGGGGAAACUCGAAUUAAUACCGCAUACGACCUACGGGUGAAAGGGGGCGCAAGCUCUUGCUAUUAGAUGAGCCUAAAUCAGAUUAGCUAGUUGGUGGGGCAAAGGCCCACCAAGGCGACGAUCUGUAACUGGUCUGAGAGGAUGAUCAGUCACACCGGAACUGAGACACGGUCCGGACUCCUACGGGAGGCAGCAGUGGGGAAUAUGGACAAUGGGGGCAACCCUGAUCCAGCCAUGCCGCGUGUGUGAAGAAGGCCUUUUGGUUGUAAAGCACUUUAAGCAGUGAGGAGAGGCUAAUGGUUAAUACCCAUUAGAUUAGACGUUACCUGCAGAAUAAGCACCGGCUAACUCUGUGCCAGCAGCCGCGGUAAUACAGAGGGUGCGAGCGUUAAUCGGAAUUACUGGGCGUAAAGCGAGUGUAGGUGGCUCAUUAAGUCACAUGUGAAAUCCCCGGGCUUAACCCGGGAACUGCAUGUGAUACUGGUGGUGCUAGAAUAUGUGAGAGGGAAGUAGAAUUCCAGGUGUAGCGGUGAAAUGCGUAGAGAUCUGGAGGAAUACCGAUGGCGAAGGCAGCUUCCUGGCAUAAUAUUGACACUGAGAUUCGAAAGCGUGGGUAGCAAACAGGAUUAGAUACCCUGGUAGUCCACGCCGUAAACGAUGUCUACUAGCCGUUGGGGUCCUUGAGACUUUAGUGGCGCAGUUAACGCGAUAAGUAGACCGCCUGGGGAGUACGGCCGCAAGGUUAAAACUCAAAUGAAUUGACGGGGGCCCGCACAAGCGGUGGAGCAUGUGGUUUAAUUCGAUGCAACGCGAAGAACCUUACCUGGUCUUGACAUAGUGAGAAUCCUGCAGAGAUGCGGGAGUGCCUUCGGGAAUUCACAUACAGGUGCUGCAUGGCUGUCGUCAGCUCGUGUCGUGAGAUGUUGGGUUAAGUCCCGCAACGAGCGCAACCCUUUUCCUUAUUUGCCAGCGGGUUAAGCCGGGAACUUUAAGGAUACUGCCAGUGACAAACUGGAGGAAGGCGGGGACGACGUCAAGUCAUCAUGGCCCUUACGACCAGGGCUACACACGUGCUACAAUGGUAGGUACAGAGGGUUGCUACACAGCGAUGUGAUGCUAAUCUCAAAAAGCCUAUCGUAGUCCGGAUUGGAGUCUGCAACUCGACUCCAUGAAGUCGGAAUCGCUAGUAAUCGCAGAUCAGAAUGCUGCGGUGAAUACGUUCCCGGGCCU
RNAcentral lists this ribosomal RNA (1354 nucleotides) under uncultured bacterium. RNAcentral's name for it is "bacterial SSU rRNA". It matches the Rfam family "Bacterial small subunit ribosomal RNA", at positions 28 to 1381 of the family's 1533-position model. The record is from RNAcentral.